UGGGGAAUUUUGGACAAUGGGGCAACCCUGAUCCAGCAAUGCCGCGUGAGCGAAGAAGGCCUUCGGGUUGUAAAGCUCUUUUGUCAGGGAAGAAACAGCAGCUCUAACACAGUCUGCGAAUGACGGUACCUGAAGAAUAAGCACCGGCUAACUAC
This 155-nucleotide ribosomal RNA is filed under the name uncultured beta proteobacterium. RNAcentral describes it as "partial 16S ribosomal RNA". It matches the Rfam family "Bacterial small subunit ribosomal RNA", at positions 355 to 504 of the family's 1533-position model. Lineage: Bacteria; Pseudomonadati; Pseudomonadota; Betaproteobacteria. The record is from RNAcentral.